Molecule: ribosomal RNA, 115 nt
Filed under: Escherichia coli
Lineage: Bacteria; Pseudomonadati; Pseudomonadota; Gammaproteobacteria; Enterobacterales; Enterobacteriaceae
Also listed under: 1 other name
Description: partial 23S ribosomal RNA
Rfam family: Bacterial large subunit ribosomal RNA
Source: RNAcentral
UGACUCCCUGAGAGUCCUGAAGGAACGUUGAAGACGACGACGUUGAUAGGCCGGGUGUGUAAGCGCAGCGAUGCGUUGAGCUAACCGGUACUAAUGAACCGUGAGGCUUAACCUU